This 1841-nucleotide long non-coding RNA is filed under the name Bos indicus x Bos taurus (hybrid cattle). Its description in RNAcentral is "lncRNA (ENSBIXG00000001667.1)". The record is from RNAcentral. Lineage: Eukaryota; Metazoa; Chordata; Mammalia; Artiodactyla; Bovidae.
GAGGCGUCUUUUCAGGCUCCCAAUCUAAUGGCUGCCGAGGGUCCUUACGGAGUCUUAGUCAAGAAGGGAGGAUUCCUGAGACAGUUCGGAAGGAUCACGUGACCCUUGUGUGACCAGGAAGUAUAACAACCACGGCCUCAAAGGGUCCCCGGGGUCAGAUGGGAGUGAGAACGUGAGCGCCUGUGGUGCCUUAGCGCAUGUGAAUGUGCAUGCGUGAGCGAGCGUGUCAUGCGUCUCGCCUGUGCGUGAACACGAUGCGUGCGUGGGCACGUCUGCGGCGAACGUGCGUGCCCGUGCGUGUCAUGCGUGCGUGGGCACGUCUGUGGCAGACGUGCGUGUCGUGCGUGUCAUGUGUGCGUGGGUGCGCCCGGUCCCCUGGGGGCGGGGAGUUCUCCCUCGGGGCUGCUGUCCCUGAGGGGGUGUAGUUGACGGCUUCCACUCCUGCUCCGGCUGGGGAAGCCUCACCUGGCGGGUAGUGGGGUCUCAGGACCCGUCUCGGGUCAGCAAUGGCCGUGUUAAGCUCUCGGAGUCGGUUUCCUUGGUGGCUGACGAGAGCGGCGGACACUGUGGUGAAAGGACAGAACGGGCAGCUCGGAGGAGAGGCGACCCUCGUCCCUCCAUCCCCACGGGCACGUACAGGCCCCCCAGGGGAUUGCUGGCUGGGGGUGCCGUUGACUUCUGACAGGACGAGGUCGCCGGGCAGCGUGACAGCCGAACAUCUGAGGGGAACCAGGGGAGGCUGGGGUCCGACGGGCCGCGCUUCUCCCAUCCUUCCGCGCCCAGGGGCGGGUCUGAACCGCCACACGCUCCAAGGGAAGCCCCCACAGAAGCCCUGCCAAAGGCAGCGCCCCCCCCCCGCCCCGCCCCAAGACCUGUGGGCCAGGAACCCCGGCGGCAGGUGCGCCCUCGCCGCCGGGGGCCGAUCUAGAGGCUGGAGAGACCGGUCAGCUCUGCGGAGAAGCAUCUUCCGGCUGCUUGCACAGGGUUCAGUUGACGAAGCAGGAGCGGAAGGGAAGCCCGGCGGGGACCGGGCGAGCUCUCCUCUAGCCGGGGCUUCUUCCUGCUCGUGCGCCCCGCCAGGCAAGAGCAGGGUUAAGUGUGUGCGAGGGGAGGGGGGCGGGGGGGGGGCGGAGAGGGAAUCCCAGACCGCCGGAACUGGAGACUUCCCAGCCGAGGGCGAAGCGGCCGCGAGAGGCAGCGCCGGCCACCCCGUGGCUUCCGCUGGCACCUGGGCGCGCGGAGUCGGGAGGACACGUCGACAGCCGCCCGCAGGACACGCGGCAGACGCGCCACAGCCACCGCCAGGGCUGACAACAAGCUCUGAGCCGGGAACCUGGGACCUGUGCCGUGACAGGGUCGGCUGGCGGCCCAGAGAGAAGAGCCGUGUGGAGCCGGAGAGGCGGGUGGACCGCACAGCCCUCGAGCGGAGAUACCGGCCUGUGUCCAGGGAUCACAAGUACCCUUUUACUCUGAGAGGGACCCAAUUUGGACUGCACAUUCUCUGGUCUGCAUCGAGGCCAGGAGGGACUGCUCCCUGCCAUCCCCCGCUGAGGGACCCUCUUUCCAGAAACCUUUCCUCCUGGAGCCGACAAAGCAGACGGCAUCCACGUGCUGUCAGGUAGCCCAAGAUCCCUGGCAAUCCUGGGGUCCUUAGAAAACAGUUGGAAUUUUUCUGGCAGUUAUUGUUUUUUAGGAUAGCUGUUUUCACGUGUUUACGUUGGACCUUUUUAAACGUCAACAAAGGUAGUGAUAAAGGCACCCUGAGCAGCCCAUUGGCCACUGCAGUGGUUACUGACACCUGGUUGCCUGCCCUCCGAGUUAUCCUUGUUGAGUUUCUGAAG